RNAcentral lists this long non-coding RNA (1121 nucleotides) under Anas platyrhynchos platyrhynchos (common mallard). RNAcentral's name for it is "lncRNA (ENSAPLG00000023332.1)". Lineage: Eukaryota; Metazoa; Chordata; Aves; Anseriformes; Anatidae. The record is from RNAcentral.
CAAAAAUUCUCCUUUCCCUCUCUUCUGCCAGCUCCUCAUCCAAUUUACAGCCUAUGAAUCACCUUCAUCUUAACCUGUAACUUCCUUGUUGGAGGUAUAUAAGAUGUUUAACUCAAGUCUAGAUGAAUGAGAUCUAGUAUAAACUUUUUGUUUCAAGAACCGCUUUAAAGGAAGCUAUUAGUUCAACUGACAUGAUCUCUCUUCAGUAAAUACACUGUGUUCUAUAUAUUUCCAUGAUAUUAACUUAUCUUUUCCUCCAAACUGUUCCAAAGCUUUGCAAAUUCCUGAGGCCAGACUAAUAUAUCUAUAGGUAUCUGGAUGGCUUUUUCCUUACUCUUCAUAAUAUCAUCUACAGAGAUGAAGAGAACUGAUCUCAUGGGAAAUGAGCAAGCCUGCACAGCCAUGUAAAAUGAUAUGUGAAGCGUAUGCAGUGUGCACAAGCUGAUGAUAACAAAAACACUAUACACUCUUCUGCUGCUCUCCAAAGUAAAGCUGCAUUUGCCACUGAUGGCACAGAAUUUAUCUCCCUUCUUGCUGUUGUUUGCACCUCAACACACACAAGUGUAUCAAACAGUAUUGAUACAGAAGCUGGCCCCCCACAGAAUAAGAAGAUCUGACAAGCAUUCAAGUAAUCAUCACUCUCGAUAAAUGGAGAUCAUCAAGGGCAUUUCUCAUUCCUAGAACUACAAGAAGCAUUAAUUCAGCUUUUCAUUUAUUUCAUGGGAUAGGAUGCAGACAACACUCACAAAAAUAGAGCUGAUUUUCCUGACUAGUAAAAUCACACCCUCUUGAAGGUCUGAGCAACAUGUGGUGUCUUUAGACUGAUGUCUUCUCAACCCCUGAGUCAUAGAAACUGAAAGGAGCAGGAAUUUUCAUCUCUCUUCUCUAUCAGUUAUUCCUACAGGUAAAACAAUUAGAGAAAGACUUAUUAAAGCUUAGAAUAUGAAUAAGGAACAGGAUUUAAUUUCUUUUAUACAAAUUAAGCAAUAGCUUAAAUGCCUGAAUCAAUCAAUUUAAUUUAGAGCUAAACUAAUCCUUGAAGUCAUUAUGAUUACACUAAAGAGUGAACGUGGCAUUUGGCUUUUCAUGCCCCCAAAAUAAAACAGAGGGUUUUUUUUUCA